RNAcentral lists this small nuclear RNA (290 nucleotides) under Nannospalax galili (Upper Galilee mountains blind mole rat). Its description in RNAcentral is "7SK RNA (ENSNGAG00000005380.1)". It matches the Rfam family "7SK RNA". Rfam says of the family: 7SK was discovered as an abundant small nuclear RNA in the mid-70s but a possible function has only recently been suggested. Lineage: Eukaryota; Metazoa; Chordata; Mammalia; Rodentia; Spalacidae. The record is from Rfam by way of RNAcentral.
AGAGAUGAGGGUGACAUCAAUCACCCCAUCAAUCACCUGGGUUGAUGCAGCUGAUCUAGCUGGCUUGGCAGAUGUCACUUUCCUCCAUCAUUCCAUGUACAUCCCCCCGAAGGCUUCACACUAGGUGGAAGAGCACAAACUUCCCGAGAGAGUAGAGCCAUUUUUUUGACUUGUGAUAUACAAGUAGCCGCGUUCCCCUGCUGAAACCUCUAAGUGCUCAAGUAUAAAUGAACCUGGACAGCACAACGUACCAAUGACAUGGUGAACUACUGGGGAAUGUUAACCUGUGU